GAAUAUUGGACAAUGGGCGAAAGCCUGAUCCAGCCAUGCCGCGUGUGUGAAGAAGGUCUUCGGAUUGUAAAGCACUUUAUGUUGGGAGGAAGGGGCUGAAGCUAAUACCUUCAAUCUUUGAAGUUACUAACAGAAUAAGCACGGGUUAACUCUGUUCCACCAGCCGCGGAAAUACAGAGGGUGAAAGCGUUAAUCGGAAUUACUGGGCGUAAAGCGCGCGUAGGUGGUUCAGUAAGAUGGAAGUGAAAUCCCCGGGCUUAACCUGGGAACUGCUUUCAUAACUGCUAAGCUAGAGUACGGUAGAGGGUAGUGGAAUUUCCUGUGUAGCGGUGAAAUGCGUAGAUAUAGGAAGGAACACCAGUGGCGAAGGCGACUACCUGGACUGAUACUGACACUGAGGUGCGAAAGCGUGGGGAGCGAACA
This 423-nucleotide ribosomal RNA is filed under the name uncultured bacterium. RNAcentral describes it as "partial 16S ribosomal RNA". It matches the Rfam family "Bacterial small subunit ribosomal RNA", at positions 359 to 774 of the family's 1533-position model. The record is from RNAcentral.